Molecule: small RNA, 718 nt
Filed under: Pan troglodytes (chimpanzee)
Lineage: Eukaryota; Metazoa; Chordata; Mammalia; Primates; Hominidae
Description: processed transcript
Source: RNAcentral
AGGACGCCUGCGCAUUGUGUCGCCGACGUUGUGUAGUCUCCCCUGGGAAAGGAGGGUCAGGAGGAGGUUCGAGUGAAGAUCAAAGACUUGAAUGAACACAUUGUUUGCUGCCUAUGCGCCGGCUACUUCGUGGAUGCCACCACCAUCACAGAGUGUCUUCAUACUUUCUGCAAGAGUUGUAUUGUGAAGUACCUCCAAACUAGCAAGUACUGCCCCAUGUGCAACAUUAAGAUCCACGAGACACAGCCACUGCUCAACCUCAAACUGGACCGGGUCAUGCAGGACAUCGUGUAUAAGCUGGUGCCUGGCUUGCAAGACAGUGAAGAGAAACGGAUUCGGGAAUUCUACCAGUCCCGAGGUUUGGACCGGGUCACCCAGCCCACUGGGGAAGAGCCAGCACUGAGCAACCUCGGCCUCCCCUUCAGCAGCUUUGACCACUCUAAAGCCCACUACUAUCGCUAUGAUGAGCAGCUGAACCUGUGCCUGGAGCGGCUGAGUUCUGGCAAAGACAAGAAUAAAAGCGUCCUGCAGAGCUGAGGUACGCCAUCUCCGGAGGGUCCUGUGUCACCGCUUGAUGCUAAACCCUCAGCAUGUGCAGCUCCUUUUUGACAAUGAAGUUCUCCCUGAUCACAUGACAAUGAAGCAGAUAUGGCUCUCCCGCUGGUUCGGCAAGCCAUCCCCUUUGCUUUUACAAUACAGUGUGAAAGAGAAGAGGAGG